RNAcentral lists this ribosomal RNA (406 nucleotides) under uncultured bacterium. Its description in RNAcentral is "partial 16S ribosomal RNA". It matches the Rfam family "Bacterial small subunit ribosomal RNA", at positions 30 to 526 of the family's 1533-position model. The record is from RNAcentral.
AUUGAACGCUGGCGGCAGGCCUAACACAUGCAAGUCGAGCGAGCGGAGGACGGGCGAAUAAUGUCUGGGAAACUGCCUGAUGGAGGGGUCUAACUACUGGAACCGGUAGCUAAUACCGCAUACUAUCAGAUGUGCCCAGAGGGGAUUAGCUAGUAGGUGGGGUAAAGGCUCACCUAGGCGACGAUCCCUAGCUGGUCUGAGAGGAUGACCGGCCACACUGGAACUGAGACCCGGUCCAGACUCCUACGGGAGGCAGCAGUGGGGAAUAUUGCGCAAUGGGCGCAAGCCUGAUGCAGCCAUGCCGCGUGUGUGAAGAAGGCCUUCGGGUUGUAAAGCACUUUCAGCGGGGAGGCGUUACUCGCAGAAGAAGCACCGGCUAACUCCGUGCCAGCAGCCGCGGUAAUAC